This 633-nucleotide ribosomal RNA is filed under the name uncultured bacterium. Its description in RNAcentral is "bacterial SSU rRNA". It matches the Rfam family "Bacterial small subunit ribosomal RNA", at positions 59 to 692 of the family's 1533-position model. The record is from RNAcentral.
CAGUCGAACGAGAAUCUACUGAAAGAGUUUUCGGACAAUGGAUGUAGAGGAAAGUGGCGGACGGGCGAGUAACGCGUGAGGAACCUGCCUUGAAGAGGGGGACAACAGUUGGAAACGACUGCUAAUACCGCAUGACGCAUAGAGGUCGCAUGAUCUUUAUGCCAAAGAUUUAUCGCUUCAAGAUGGCCUCGCGUCUGAUUAGCUGGUUGGCGGGGUAACGGCCCACCAAGGCGACGAUCAGUAGCCGGACUGAGAGGUUGAACGGCCACAUUGGGACUGAGAUACGGCCCAGACUCCUACGGGAGGCAGCAGUGGGGAAUAUUGGGCAAUGGGCGCAAGCCUGACCCAGCAACGCCGCGUGAAGGAAGAAGGCUUUCGGGUUGUAAACUUCUUUUAAGAGGGAAGAGCAGAAGACGGUACCUCUAGAAUAAGCCACGGCUAACUACGUGCCAGCAGCCGCGGUAAUACGUAGGUGGCAAGCGUUGUCCGGAUUUACUGGGUGUAAAGGGCGUGCAGCCGGGUCUGCAAGUCAGAUGUGAAAUCCAUGGGCUCAACCCAUGAACUGCAUUUGAAACUGUANAUCUUGAGUGUCGGAGGGCAAUCGGAAUUCCUAGUGUAGCGGUGAAAUGCGUA